UGACAAUAAUUAAAAAUUCUAAUUGGUAUUUGACCCAUUAAACGCAUCAAGUUAAUAAGACAACGCGACGUGAAUCACAGGAUAUGAUAUCACACGCUACUUCACCUCUGCGGCAAAACGACGCGCCUCACGGAAUCCAGAGCGAUCCAUCAUAAGUGCAGUGCAAACAGUGUUACGUAUUUUAGAUUUUUUUAAAUUCAAAUUGUUCCAAGAAAUCUAUGAUUUUUUGAUUGAAACUGAAUAUGAGAAGACGUGCAUUGCGUAUCCUUUUUUUAUAAUGUAAUUUAAGGUUUAUGCUACAUAUCGACAGUGUAUUAUUUACAACAUGAAUUAUUUGUUGUGGUAAUGAUAAAAAAUUGGUAAUGAUGGUGUUGAUAUUACUGUACAGGUGACAUAAAAAUUGUGAAAAAUGUGUAAGUGAUAUGAAACACUAUAAAAUAGCACCUUAGAAUAAAUGAGAUGCGUAACUAAUGUUAUCUAAAUAACAUAAUUUUAUCUUGAUACAGUUUAUACUACUCGCAGCGACAUAACAACUAAACCUUGAUAAAACAAAGGACCAAAGUCUUAGUGGAGGCAGCAAAUAAAGCGUAACUGGAGUGCAAGCACUGUAUAAUUACUAGAAACGUUACAUUCAAUACUAAAAAUUAUUAUUAAUAUUAUUAUUUCACUAACUUUCUUAUAAAUAUUUCACUUAUCAAUUUUAUUAAUAAGUCAUAAUGCAAAAUAUAAAAUAAGUUUCAAGUGAAAAAUAUUUAUACGAAUUUUUUUUACUAAAUAAUAUAUUGACAGUGUUUCUUGUUUGUAAGCGGUACAUAUUAAUGUUUGCACUCCAUUCGCGCGGGUGAUGUACCUCUGCGAGGUUAGUAAUAGAGGAGGAGAGUCUCUGCAGGGACGUCCUCCGCUGUGUGGUAACUAGCUUGCGCACUACGUCUAACGGCCGCCUCAGCCCUAGCAUGUUUUGUGCGCUGAAGAAUGAAUCGGACGGUGUAGUCUCCUCACUGUCCUCAUGUAACGAUGCGACCUUGAAUACAAAUACUUCAUUGUCCCAUAAGCGACAAUGCGUGGGCGCACAUAGACGGACUUCUGUCCGUGACAUCAGCUGCUUAUGUUUUAUAAUGAUCUUGAAAUAUAAACAUUUCGUCGUA
Long non-coding RNA from Nymphalis io (European peacock), 1145 nucleotides. RefSeq lists it as uncharacterized. The transcript is spliced from 2 exons. The record is from RefSeq and is a predicted model, not a curated record. NCBI's taxonomy places the organism in Eukaryota, Metazoa, Arthropoda, Insecta, Lepidoptera, Nymphalidae.